This 248-nucleotide ribosomal RNA is filed under the name uncultured bacterium. RNAcentral's name for it is "partial 16S ribosomal RNA". It matches the Rfam family "Bacterial small subunit ribosomal RNA", at positions 523 to 769 of the family's 1533-position model. The record is from RNAcentral.
AUACGUAGGUGGCGAGCGUUGUCCGGAAUUACUGGGUGUAAAGGGCGUGUAGGCGGGAAUGUAAGUCAGAUGUGAAAUCCCCGUGCUUAACAUGGGGAUUGCAAUAGAAACUGUAUAGCUAGAGUGCAGGAGAGGUAAGUGGAAUUCCUAGUGUAGCGGUGAAAUGCAUAGAUAUUAGGAGGAACACCAGUGGCGAAGGCGACUUGCUGGACAUUAACUGACGCUGAGGCGACGAAAGCGUGGGGAGC